Long non-coding RNA from Mytilus trossulus (common blue mussel), 368 nucleotides. RefSeq lists it as uncharacterized. The transcript has 5 exons. The record is from RefSeq and is a predicted model, not a curated record. Lineage: Eukaryota; Metazoa; Mollusca; Bivalvia; Mytilida; Mytilidae.
AACGUUGUUUUGUUAAACAGUUUGUUCCGUUGUAAAUCGUUGAAGGAAGUACAGUUUUACUGAAGCGUUCAUAGCAAUAUAAAAUGAAGUUCGCAUUGUUGAUGCUGGUAUUUCUUGUCAUAGCCACAGAUAUCGUGUCUUCCCAAGCAGGAUGUCGUAACUGCGCAUGUUUUCCGACGGGACAAUGGGUUUGUUCAAGUUGUGGUGUGACUUUCAAUAAUGAAUGUUUUAUGCAAUGCUAUGGUCAAUUUUAUGGUUACCAGGGUCAGUGUACAUCUUAACAUGUAUGAUUCACAGCACCAAGUGAAACAGAAAAUUUAAUAAAAUGUAUUGAAAUGUAAAAAUAAAAUAGUUUACGUUCUAUAUAA